ACACUGAGAUAGGCUUCUUGGCCUGGGCAUGGAGCCAAGGGGCUCCUCGUCUCGGUGAUCCUGCUUGUCCCUAGCCUUCUCCUGCCUGUCAACUUCCUCAUCAUCUCUCUCAGCCAUGCACAUCUAGGUUGUACCCCCCCAAAACGGAGAGCAGGGCAGGCCAGGAGAAGCAAUGUCUGAGGAGCAGGAGAGGACGUUCUGGAGGAAGGAAAUGCUCUAGAGCU
RNAcentral lists this long non-coding RNA (224 nucleotides) under Ictidomys tridecemlineatus (thirteen-lined ground squirrel). RNAcentral describes it as "lncRNA (ENSSTOG00000031382.1)". Lineage: Eukaryota; Metazoa; Chordata; Mammalia; Rodentia; Sciuridae. The record is from RNAcentral.